RNAcentral lists this ribosomal RNA (1469 nucleotides) under metagenome. RNAcentral describes it as "bacterial SSU rRNA". It matches the Rfam family "Bacterial small subunit ribosomal RNA". The record is from RNAcentral.
AGAGUUUGAUCCUGGCUCAGGACGAACGCUGGCGGCACGCUUAACACAUGCAAGUCGAACGAGAGAAGAGGAGCUUGCUUUUCUGAUCUAGUGGCGGACGGGUGAGUAACACGUGAGCAAUCUGCCUUUCAGAGGGGGAUACCGAUUGGAAACGAUCGUUAAUACCGCAUAACAUAAUUGAACCGCAUGAUUUGAUUAUCAAAGAUUUAUCGCUGAAAGAUGAGCUCGCGUCUGAUUAGCUAGUUGGUAAGGUAACGGCUUACCAAGGCGACGAUCAGUAGCCGGACUGAGAGGUUGAUCGGCCACAUUGGGACUGAGACACGGCCCAGACUCCUACGGGAGGCAGCAGUGGGGAAUAUUGCACAAUGGAGGAAACUCUGAUGCAGCGAUGCCGCGUGAGGGAAGAAGGUUUUAGGAUUGUAAACCUCUGUCUUCAGGGACGAAAAAAGACGGUACCUGAGGAGGAAGCUCCGGCUAACUACGUGCCAGCAGCCGCGGUAAUACGUAGGGAGCGAGCGUUGUCCGGAAUUACUGGGUGUAGAGGGAGCGUAGGCGGGAUCGCAAGUCAGAUGUGAAAACUAUGGGCUUAACCCAUAAACUGCAUUUGAAACUGUGGUUCUUGAGUGAAGUAGAGGUAAGCGGAAUUCCUAGUGUAGCGGUGAAAUGCGUAGAUAUUAGGAGGAACAUCAGUGGCGAAGGCGGCUUACUGGGCUUUAACUGACGCUGAGGCUCGAAAGCGUGGGGAGCAAACAGGAUUAGAUACCCUGGUAGUCCACGCCGUAAACGAUGAUACUAGGUGUGGGGGGACUGACCCCUUCCGUGCCGCAGCAAACGCAAUAAGUAAUCCACCUGGGGAGUACGACCGCAAGGUUGAAACUCAAAGGAAUUGACGGGGGCCCGCACAAGCAGUGGAGUAUGUGGAUUAAUUCGAAGCAACGCGAAGAACCUUACCAGGUCUUGACAUCGUAUGCAUAGCUCAGAGAUGAGUGAAAUCUCUUCGGAGACAUAUAGACAGGUGGUGCAUGGUUGUCGUCAGCUCGUGUCGUGAGAUGUUGGGUUAAGUCCCGCAACGAGCGCAACCCUUACUGUUAGUUGCUACGCAAGAGCACUCUAGCAGGACUGCCGUUGACAAAACGGAGGAAGGUGGGGAUGACGUCAAAUCAUCAUGCCCCUUAUGACCUGGGCCUCACACGUACUACAAUGGCUGUCAACAGAGGGAAGCAAAGCCGCGAGGUGGAGCGAACCCCUAAAAGCAGUCUUAGUUCGGAUUGUAGGCUGCAACCCGCCUACAUGAAGUCGGAAUUGCUAGUAAUCGCAGAUCAGCAUGCUGCGGUGAAUACGUUCCCGGGCCUUGUACACACCGCCCGUCACGCCAUGGGAGUCGGUAACACCCGAAGCCUGUAGUCUAACCGCAAGGAGGACGCAGUCGAAGGUGGGAUUGAUGACUGGGGUGAAGUCGUAACAAGGUA